Molecule: long non-coding RNA, 826 nt
Filed under: Helianthus annuus (common sunflower)
Lineage: Eukaryota; Viridiplantae; Streptophyta; Magnoliopsida; Asterales; Asteraceae
Description: hypothetical non coding rna
Source: RNAcentral
GUUUCUUCUUCCUACGCUAUCGGUCGCACAUCAUUGCUUCAUCAGGAAAUGAAUGCAAAAAACCAAUUUGCAGAGCUUACAUCAUCGGAUUUAUCGUCAGGCAUGUGCAUUGAGAUAAUGAGAUCCUUUUCAACUUCAAGUUUUUCAUUUAAGGGGAAUUAGAAUUAUCAUAAUCAUGUGAUUCCGAUUGGUGUUUUGAUUUUAAUCAUAAUCGUUCAUGAAGGUGCAAGUAUCGGUGGCUCCUGCUAGCUGAAUUACCAGUGUCGUUGACGUUGGGCUUCAAGGUACAACUGAUAGAUCACUACUACUAGAGAGAAUGUUGGUGAAAAUUGUUUAGGUAAUCAAGUGAUAUCUAUUGAUUUAUUUUCUUUUUCUUUUGUUUGUUAAGAUAGUGAUAAUGCUGAUGACAUGAAGUGUUUACGGUGGGUAAUGGUGAGUGUAUAGACAUCCUUUUUUGUCAAUUGGUUGAAAAUUGUCUUAGAUUUGUAUGUGUUAUGAUUUCUCAUUUGACCCGUUAAGUCGUUUACCCAACGCAACCUGUUAGUUUAUAUUCCAUCUACAGAUGCGAAAAGAAGCCCUAGAGGCUAGAGGACCUCAUGGUUUUUUGUUGACGAGCUCAGACGGGUCAGGAGGCGGCGCAACCACGGUACUCGGGACUGAUGACGACAUGUUGAACGAUUCUAGUUCUUGUUGUAUUCAUGAAUAUUAGUUUUUUUUUUUUUAUAUUUAUGAAUUGUUAUUCUGUGAAUCAUGGCGACAAUAGUUUUUUAAAAUUGUUGCUAAAGACCUGGUAGUUUAUUUGGCAAAUGAAUAAUUUACACGAGUU